This is a small nuclear RNA of Panthera pardus (leopard), 97 nucleotides long. The record is from Ensembl. NCBI's taxonomy places the organism in Eukaryota, Metazoa, Chordata, Mammalia, Carnivora, Felidae.
CUGCUGGCUUCGGCAGCACAUAUACUAAAACUGGAACAGUACAGAAAACUAGCACGGCCCUUGCACAAGGAUGACACGGAACAGGAUCCACAAUUCA